Molecule: transfer RNA, 67 nt
Filed under: Didemnum perlucidum
Lineage: Eukaryota; Metazoa; Chordata; Ascidiacea; Aplousobranchia; Didemnidae
Description: tRNA-Asn
Source: RNAcentral
UUCAAAUUAUCAUAUAUUAAUGAGUUUAAUUGUUAAUUAAAAAAAAUUUUUUAAAAUAUUUGAUUUA